Non-coding RNA from Blastomyces dermatitidis ER-3, 120 nucleotides. The record is from Rfam. Lineage: Eukaryota; Fungi; Ascomycota; Eurotiomycetes; Onygenales; Ajellomycetaceae.
ACAUACGACCAUAGGGAGUGGAAAGCAGGGCUUCCCGUCCGCUCAGCCGUACUUAAGCCACUCGCCGGCCGGUUAGUAGUUGGGUGGGUGACCACCAGCGAAUCCCGGCUGUUGUAUGUU